GAUGUAGUUGCGGAAGAUUAAUUGACAUGAGCCCACAGGAUAUAUUAGAGGGGAGAAAUGGAAGGCGAGGAGCUCAACCAAGAGAACAUUACUUCCUCCAAGUGACAGGGAUUGAGGACAACUUUGGGGACAGGAGGAAUGAAAACAAAAGGUAGAUUCAGAAAACACUGAAGGCAAACAUUGGAAUAGCAAGAAGAAAGGCAAAGGGAACUAGUAUUUAUUGAGGACAUACUACCUGUUACUCAGAACACUAGAUAUAUAGGAUAAACAAAUGUCCUUUUCUUGCCACAAUCUGUUUAUGCCUUCUUUUCUUUUUUUUUCUUUUCUUUUGUUUUCUUUGAUCAUGAGAUAAUUAUUAACAAUGGCUCCUUUCAUUCUCCAUGUGUUCUGGCUCGGACAAUGUGGUACACAAUCCUGUUUUUAUAUACUUUUCAUCUUUGCUUCCUCCAGUUUGCCAUCUUCCACGGUGCACCUGAAGAUGCUGAACAUCUGAGGAGUCGCCUCAUGGCGUGUGGCCAGUAGGUGGAAGAGCCUGGAUUUGAAUCCAGAUCUAUAGAGUUCCAAAACGGGAGAGAUCUCAAGUGAAAAUUUUUUAAAAGUACAAUUAGUUCUGAUCAGAAUCACCAGCUAUGUGCAAGAUUUCAUCUGAGCAUUGUUCUCACAUAAAGAACUUAGUAGCAGAGAGUUUUAGAAUCGGAAGAUCUUGAACAAUUCCUUUGUGACAGUUAAAACAACUAAGGCUCAAGGAAGGUGGAACAGACCAAAGCAACUGGAUCUAGAUAAAAGUUAUGAGCCAUGUUAGAUUCAAACACAGGUAAUAUCCUUGGGAACCAGCUGCCACCAGCGGAGACCACAGAGACCACAGUGGAACUUGGAUGAAAAUGCACUCAAAGGCCAAAGGCUAAAGCCAGAGACCACAAAAGAACUGAAUUAAACAAGUUUUUACGGGGCCUUGGUUUCAAGGAGCUCAGAGGGUUUACCAGACUUCUUGUCGGCCUUCAUCACACCCAAGUUAGAGGGGAAAGUGAAUAUUGUAUGAAGAUGGCUUUCAUAUGAAGGCAGUCUGCAAAAGCAAAACUGAUCACUCAAAGCCAGUGGGUGAGGACCCAAUUUCCUUAACAAGAAUGCACAGAUAUACUGGUGAAGGAAAAGAAUAUCCCCAUUAAUUAAGAUGAAACAACAACACUACUACUCAUUAAAGUACCCAAGGCAGGUAAACUGCCUUGUAAAUUGACCACUUGGGAAUGUUUGGCUUACCAGGUACUUGCACACCGGCAAGAAAGUCAGGAAAUCCAGACAGAGUCCACCCUGCUGCUGCUCACCUCCUCUCCUAUCUGGCAGCCAGAAAGGAUUUGUUCUGUUUUGUUACGGAGGGAUAAACUAGGAUCAGUGAGUGGAAGACUCAUGAAGGUAGAUUUUUGGCUCGAGAGAACACUUUUCAAAAAUUAGAUGACCCAGUGAUGAAUGUGCUGCUAGCUAAGGUGAUGCGUGCUCUGUAGGUGAUCAAGGAGAAGCCCCAGGAACACACAUUCGGAUGAGCUAAACCAGAAGAGCCAAGACAUCCAAAGAGCAUCAGGAAAAGUCUUUGCUGAAAAGAAUCUUCAAGACCAGCUUGUGCCCUGCUGCUAAACAUCAGUUCAGCUUGUAAAAUCUCCGUGGUAACACCGUACAAUAAGGUACCAUCCAGUCAGCCUGGAAGUUUCAUCAUAUAACUCAAACAUGCUUCAGGGGCUCUCAGUAUGGUGUCCUUCACUCCAUUCUUAAAGGCCUUGUUUUUUGU
Molecule: long non-coding RNA, 1780 nt
Organism: Herpailurus yagouaroundi (jaguarundi)
Lineage: Eukaryota; Metazoa; Chordata; Mammalia; Carnivora; Felidae
Exons: 5
Source: RefSeq, a predicted model, not a curated record